UACGUAGGUGGCAAGCGUUGUCCGGAUUUAUUGGGUUUAAAGGGAGCGUAGGCGGACAGUUAAGUCAGAGGUGAAAGCCCAGGGCUCAACCCUGGAAUUGCCUUUGAUACUGAUUGUCUUGAGUAUGGGAGAGGUAUGCGGAACUCCGAGUGUAGAGGUGAAAUUCGUAGAUAUUCGGAAGAACACCAGUGGCGAAGGCGGCAUACUGGCCCAUUACUGACGCUGAGGCUCGAAAGCGUGGGGAGCAAACAGG
Molecule: ribosomal RNA, 253 nt
Filed under: uncultured bacterium
Lineage: Bacteria
Description: partial 16S ribosomal RNA
Rfam family: Bacterial small subunit ribosomal RNA
Source: RNAcentral